AACGUAGGUGGCAAGCGUUAUCCGGAUUCACUGGGCGUAAAGCGAGUGCAGGUGGUUGUGUAAGUUGGAUGUGAAAUUUCCCGGCUUAACCGGGAAGGGUCAUUCAAUACUGCGCGACUUGAGGGCAGAAGAGGGGGGUGGAAUUGCCGGUGUAGUGGUGAAAUGCGUAGAUAUCGGCAGGAACACCUGUGGCGAAAGCGGCCCCCUGGUCUGCUCCUGACACUCAGACUCGAAAGCUAGGGUAGCGAACGGG
Molecule: ribosomal RNA, 253 nt
Filed under: uncultured bacterium
Lineage: Bacteria
Description: partial 16S ribosomal RNA
Rfam family: Bacterial small subunit ribosomal RNA
Source: RNAcentral